ACGGCUCAGUAACACGUCGAUAACGUACCGUGAAGACCGGGAUAACCUUGCGAAAGUGAGAGUAAUACCGGAUAGGGAACGGGGUGUGGAAUCCUCCCAUUCCAGAAAGAUCCGUCGCUUCACGAUCGGUCGGCGGCUCAUCAGGUAGUUGGUGAGGUAAUGGCUCACCAAGCCUAAGACGAGUAGGGGCCAUGAGAGUGGUUGCCCCGAGAAGGACACUGAGAUACAGGUCCUAGCCCUAAGGGGUGCAGCAGUCGCGAAAACUCCGCAAUGCGCGCAAGCGUGACGGGGGGAUUCUGAGUGCUUACGGUUUAACCGUAGGCUUUUCGUUAGGGCAAAUACCUAGCGGAAUAAGUGGUGGGCAAGACUGGUGCCAGCCGCCGCGGUAACCCCAGCGCCACAAGUGGGAACCACGUUUAUUGGGUCUAAAGCAUCCGUAGCCGGCUCGGCAAAUGCCCUGUGAAAUCGAUCCGCUCAACGGAUCGGCGUGCAGGGUAGACUACCAAGCUAGGGACCAGAGGAGGAGGGCGGUAUUCCUGAGGGAGCGGUAAAAUGUGAUAAUCUCAGGAGGACCACCAAUGGCGAAGGCAGCCUUCUAAUAUGGAUCCGACGGUGAGGGAUGAAAGCUAGGGGAGCGAUCCGGAUUAGAUACCCGAGUAGUCCUAGCCGUAAACGCUGCAUGCCAGAUGUUACACAAUCUUCGAGAUUGUGUAGUGUCGUAACGAAGGUGUUAAGCAUGCCACCUGGGAAGUACGGUCGCAAGGCUGAAACUUAAAAGGAAUUGGCGCGGGGAGA
RNAcentral lists this ribosomal RNA (795 nucleotides) under uncultured archaeon. RNAcentral describes it as "bacterial SSU rRNA". It matches the Rfam family "Archaeal small subunit ribosomal RNA", at positions 85 to 878 of the family's 1478-position model. The record is from RNAcentral.